Molecule: ribosomal RNA, 413 nt
Filed under: uncultured bacterium
Lineage: Bacteria
Description: bacterial SSU rRNA
Rfam family: Bacterial small subunit ribosomal RNA
Source: RNAcentral
GAUGAACGCUAGCGGCAGGCCUAACACAUGCAAGUCGAGGGGCAGCACGUCUUCGGAUGGUGGCGACCGGCGCACGGGUGCGUAACGCGUAUGCAACCUACCUCUUACAGUGGGAUAGCCCAGAGAAAUUUGGAUUAAUACCGCAUAGUAUACAGAUUCAGCAUUGGGACUGUAUUAAACAUUUAUGGGUAAGAGAUGGGCAUGCGUUCUAUUAGUUAGUUGGAGUGGUAACGGCACCCCAAGACAGCGAUAGAUAGGGGCCCUGAGAGGGGGAUCCCCCANACUGGUACUGAGACACGGACCAGACUCCUACGGGAGGCAGCAGUGAGGAAUAUUGGACAAUGGGCGAGAGCCUGAUCCAGCCAUGCCGCGUGCAGGAAGACGGCCCUAUGGGUUGUAAACUGCUUUUGUAC